GGGGUUGUGGCUCAGCGGCAGAGCACUUGCCUAGCUUGUGCAAGGUGCUGUGUUCAAUCCUCAGCACCACA
RNAcentral lists this transfer RNA (71 nucleotides) under Marmota monax (woodchuck). RNAcentral's name for it is "tRNA.Undet". Lineage: Eukaryota; Metazoa; Chordata; Mammalia; Rodentia; Sciuridae. The record is from RNAcentral.